AGCGAACGCUGGCGGCAGGCCUAAUACAUGCAAGUCGAACGAACUCUUCGGAGUUAGUGGCGGACGGGUGAGUAACACGUGGGAACGUGCCUUUAGGUUCGGAAUAGCUCAGGGAAACUUGUGCUAAUACCGAAUGUGCCCUUCGGGGGAAAGAUUUAUCGCCUUUAGAGCGGCCCGCGUCUGAUUAGCUAGUUGGUGAGGUAAAGGCUCACCAAGGCGACGAUCAGUAGCUGGUCUGAGAGGAUGAUCAGCCACAUUGGGACUGAGACACGGCCCAAACUCCUACGGGAGGCAGCAGUGGGGAAUCUUGCGCAAUGGGCGAAAGCCUGACGCAGCCAUGCCGCGUGAAUGAUGAAGGUCUUAGGAUUGUAAAAUUCUUUCACCGGGGACGAUAAUGACGGUACCCGGAGAAGAAGCCCCGGCUAACUUCGUGCCAGCCGCCGCAGUAA
RNAcentral lists this ribosomal RNA (449 nucleotides) under uncultured bacterium. Its description in RNAcentral is "partial 16S ribosomal RNA". It matches the Rfam family "Bacterial small subunit ribosomal RNA", at positions 29 to 523 of the family's 1533-position model. The record is from RNAcentral.